This is a non-coding RNA of Ailuropoda melanoleuca (giant panda), 73 nucleotides long. NCBI's taxonomy places the organism in Eukaryota, Metazoa, Chordata, Mammalia, Carnivora, Ursidae. The record is from Rfam.
GCCUGGCUGGCUCAGUCGGUAAAGCAUGCAACUCUUGAUCUCAGGUUCGUGAGUUCAAGCCCCACGUUGGGCA